This 301-nucleotide ribosomal RNA is filed under the name uncultured bacterium. RNAcentral's name for it is "partial 16S ribosomal RNA". It matches the Rfam family "Bacterial small subunit ribosomal RNA", at positions 509 to 807 of the family's 1533-position model. The record is from RNAcentral.
CAGUAGCCGCGGUAAUACCGAGGGUGCGAGCGUUAAUCGGAUUUACUGGGCGUAAAGCGUGCGUAGGCGGCUUCUUAAGUCGGAUGUGAAAUCCCUGAGCUUAACUUAGGAAUUGCAUUCGAUACUGGGAAGCUAGAGUAUGGGAGAGGAUGGUAGAAUUCCAGGUGUAGCGGUGAAAUGCGUAGAGAUCUGGAGGAAUACCGAUGGCGAAGGCAGCCAUCUGGCCUAAUACUGACGCUGAGGUACGAAAGCAUGGGGAGCAAACAGGAUUAGAUACCCCUGUAGUCCCUGUCUCUUAUAC